RNAcentral lists this ribosomal RNA (433 nucleotides) under uncultured bacterium. Its description in RNAcentral is "partial 16S ribosomal RNA". It matches the Rfam family "Bacterial small subunit ribosomal RNA", at positions 29 to 507 of the family's 1533-position model. The record is from RNAcentral.
AACGAACGCUGGCGGCAUGCCUAACACAUGCCAGUCGAACGAGACCUUCGGGUCUAGUGGCGCACGGGUGCGUAACGCGUGGGAACCUGCCCUUAGGUUCGGAAUAACUCCCCGAAAGGGGGGCUAAUACCGGAUAAUGUCCUCGGACCAAAGAUUUAUCGCCUUUGGAUGGGCACGCGUUGGAUUAGCUAGUUGGUAGGGUAAAAGCCUACCAAGGCGACGAUCCAUAGCUGGUCUGAGAGGAUGAUCAGCCACACUGGGACUGAGACACGGCCCAGACUCCUACGGGAGGCAGCAGUGGGGAAUAUUGGACAAUGGGCGAAAGCCUGAUCCAGCAAUGCCGCGUGAGUGAUGAAGGCCUUAGGGUUGUAAAGCUCUUUUACCCGGGAUGAUAAUGACAGUACCGGGGGAAUAAGCUCCGGCUAACUCCGUG